RNAcentral lists this long non-coding RNA (7707 nucleotides) under Sorghum bicolor (sorghum). Its description in RNAcentral is "long non-coding RNA (SBIC_LNC002881)". Lineage: Eukaryota; Viridiplantae; Streptophyta; Magnoliopsida; Poales; Poaceae. The record is from RNAcentral.
AGCCGCCCGUCUCCUUGUCUUCGGAACCCCAUUAUUGAUUAAGAUUCAGUUUGAAACCUUCAAUUCAUCUUGCAAAUUCAGUGCUUGUUUCCUCGUUCUUGCUAGUUCUUCGAUUGCUUGCAGGACGGGAGCCCUAGGGGCUGGUUGUCGCGCUCCACAAGAUCGUGACGGCUACUGGACGUGGUGUAUUGGUUGCUAAGGCGUGGUCUUGAGGGCUGUAGUCGGGCCGUGAACGUCAUCUCCAUCCACCAAUCGAGUUACCCAGCGCCUCUCAUCGAAAGAUCAGGCGAAAACCCUAGUGGGUUCACAUCAGUUGGUAAUCAGAGCAAGGUUCUUCGGUGAGAGACUUCUAGUCCUUUGCUGUUUUUAAUUAAUUUCCUAUAGUCCAGAAAAGCCAAAAAAAUAUAGUAGAUUAGUUUUUCCAUAAUCCUAUUAAACCUUUGUGCCUUGGCUAGUACCGUUUUAGUUAGGGCUUGUUGAAUUUGCGUUGCUUCGGUUUGUGUCGAGUUGCUGGUCUUAGUGUCUAGUCCUUUAGAGUUUCGAGUUCUUGUCACCAUCUAUACACAGCCGAGUACCAUAUCUUCUCUCUGUCGAAUCUGUUGUGAAGUCCAAAUUGAACUGUGAUCCAAAAAGAAAGAUAACUCCAUACUUGUUCGGCCUUACUCUAGAGAGAGAGAGAGAGUGUGUGUGUAGCGAAUUGCUCUUUUGUAUUCCUUUGUUCAUAUAAUCAGUUUUUGAGGUUGCCCAAAAAAAAGAAAAAAAAGAAAAGAGAAAAGAUUCAAAAGAAAAAAAAAGGGGCUGUUUUUCAUAUUGAUUUUAGGUUUCUUCCACCUUGUUUUCGGGGGUGUGCUGUGGUUUUCCUUUGUGUCCAGGCUCGCGUCUCUAGCACGGUCUAGCCUAGGACCAGCACAGUACCAUCGUCGAACGCUUAUUCAGCUCCCUUUUAUAACUAACGUGGUGCUAGUUCGUUCCUUGUUUCAGCCCACCUAUAGCUCCACAUACUCUACAGCUUGACAGGUCUUGUGCUGCAGCACCGAUACACUUCGUCCAUUGCUGUACACUUGUUGGCAGACGACCCCUCCUGUCAAGCAAGGUAAGAAUUGGUAAGAACUUGUGUUACAGGUUGAGUGUGAGCGACUUGCUGUAGCUACAUCCUAGUAGUUGUAGGGCUUUUAUUUCUUCACUUGCCUUUUUGUUGUCUUUGUCUUUGAACCAUGCCAGGGGCAGAUGAUGGUAACGAAACACCACUUACACCUCGCACUAAGGGCAUCAUACAACAUUUUGAAAGGAAAGUGAAGCUGCACACAGAGGGACUUGAUAACGACUUGCAGGUGACGAAUGAAAAGCUGGGGCAGUUGGAGGCUACGCAGAUUGCCACAAACAACAAGCUCACAAGUUUGGAGGAAUCCGUUGCUAGUGUGGACAAAAGCCUUGCUGCUCUCCUAAGGCGAUUUGAUGCUUUCCACACCGAAGAUAAAGAGAAGCAUAAAGAAGAAAAGGAGGGAGAUCGAGAGCACGGUAGUCAUGAAGAUGACUACACUGGUGAUACUGAACAUGAUGAUCAAGACACUCGUGAUCGACGUCGCCUUCGUCACAACCGUAGAGGUAUGGGUGGCAACCGCCGACGCGAGGUACACAAUAAUGAUGAUGCUUUCAGUAAGAUUAAAUUUAAGAUACCCCCUUUUGAUGGUAAAUAUGACCCUGAUGCUUACAUCACUUGGGAGAUUGCUGUUGAUCAAAAGUUUGCAUGUCAUGAAUUUCCUGAGACUACACGUGUUAGGGCUGCUACUAGUGAGUUUACAGAUUUUGCUUCUGUUUGGUGGAUAGAAUAUGGAAAGAAAAAUCCUAAUAACUUACCUAGAACUUGGGAUGCGCUGAAAAGGGCCAUGGGAGCUAGAUUUGUUCCAUCUUACUAUGCGCGUGAUAUGAUAAAUAAGUUGCAGCAGUUAAGACAAGGUGCUAAAAGUGUAGAAGAAUAUUAUCAGGAAUUACAAACGGGUAUGUUGCGUUGUAACCUAGAGGAGGAUGAGGAACCGGCUAUGGCUAGAUUUUUGGGUGGGUUAAAUCGGGAAAUUCAGGACAUCCUCGCUUACAAAGAAUACAAUAAUGUAACCCGUUUGUUUCAUCUUGCUUGUAAAGCUGAAAGGGAAGUGCAGGGACGACGUGCUAGCACAAGGAGUAAUAUUUCUGGAGGGAAGGCUAAUUCAUGGCAGCAACACAUGGCUUCAACUCCAUCUACACGUAUUUCUACUCCAUCAUCUAGUGACAAGGCUCGAGCUACCCCCACCAAUUCAGUUGUGAAGACGAUGCAAAAGCCUACUGCGAGUACUUCAUCCGUGGCAUCGACGGGUAGAACAAGCAACAUACAAUGUCAUCGGUGCAAGGGAUAUGGGCACAUGAUGCGUGACUGCCCAAACAAGCGAGUUAUGAUUGUCAGGGAUGAUGGUGAGUACUCAUCUGCUAGUGAUUUUGAUGAGGAUACACUUGCACUGCUUGCGACUGACCAUGCAGGUAAUGAAGAUCAAAUAGAAGAACAUAUUAAUGCAGGUGAAGCGGACCACUAUGAGAGCUUGAUCGUGCAGCGAGUGCUUAGUGCACAAAUGGAGAUGGCGGAACAAAAUCAGCGACACAUUUUAUUCCAAACAAAGUGUGUCAUCAAAGAGCGUUCUUGUCGCAUGAUCAUUGAUGGAGGUAGCUGCAACAACUUGGCAAGCAGCGAUAUGGUGCAGAAGCUUGCCCUCAACACCAAACCACACCCGCAUCCCUACUACAUCCAAUGGCUGAACAACAGUGGUAAGGCAAAGGUAACUAGACUUGUGAGAAUUAAUUUUUCCAUCAGAUCCUACAAAGAUAUUGUUGAAUGUGAUGUUGUGCCUAUGCAAGCUUGUAACAUUCUGCUAGGUAGACCUUGGCAAUUUGAUAGAGAUUCUAUGCAUCAUGGUAGAUCAAAUCAGUAUUCUUUUCUAUACCAUGGUCACAAAAUUGUGUUGCAUCCUAUGUUCCCUGAAACUAUUAUGCAAACUGAUGUUGCUAGGGCUACUAAAGCAAAGAGUGAGAGCAAUAAAAAUGAUAAAUCUGUAAUUGGUAACAAAGAUGAGAUAAAACUAAAAGGACGUUGUAUGAUAGCUACCAAAUCAGAUAUUAAUGAGUUCAAUGCAUCCACUUCUGUUGCUUAUGCUGUGAUAUGCAAGGAUGCUUUGAUUUCAAUUGAGGAUAUGCAAUGUUCUUUGCCCCCUGCUGUUGCUAACGUUUUGCAGGAGUAUUCUGAUGUGUUUCCAAGUGAGGUACUAGCGGGGCUGCCUCCACUACGUGGGAUUGAGCACCAAAUUGAUCUUAUUCCUGGAGCAGUUUUGCCAAAUCGUGCACCAUACAGGACAAACCCGAAGGAAACAAAGGAAAUUCAGCGACAAGUGCAAGAACUACUAGACAAAGGUUAUGUCCGAGAAUCUCUUAGUCCUUGUGCUGUUCCAAUAAUUUUAGUGCCUAAGAAAGAUGGAACAUGGCGUAUGUGUGUUGAUUGUAGAGCUAUUAAUAAUAUCACCAUUCGAUAUCGACACCCUAUUCCACGAUUAGAUGAUAUGCUAGAUGAACUGAGUGGUGCUGUUGUGUUUUCAAAAGUUGAUUUACGUAGUGGGUACCACCAGAUUCGUAUGAAAUUGGGAGAUGAAUGGAAAACUGCUUUCAAAACUAAGUUCGGUUUGUAUGAGUGGUUAGUCAUGCCUUUUGGGUUAACUAAUGCACCUAGUACUUUCAUGAGAUUAAUGAACGAGGUUUUGCGUGCUUUCAUUGGGAAAUUUGUUGUCGUAUAUUUUGAUGACAUAUUGAUUUACAGCAAAUCAUUGGAUGAACAUCUUGAUCAUUUACGUGCUGUUUUUAAUGCACUACGCGAGGCACGUUUAUUUGGUAACCUUGAGAAGUGCACCUUUUGCACCGAUCGAGUGUCUUUUCUUGGUUAUGUUGUGACUCCACAGGGAAUUGAGGUUGAUCAAGCCAAGGUGGAAGCUAUACAGGGAUGGCCUGUCCCAAAUACUAUCACCCAGGUGCGGAGUUUCCUAGGACUUGCUGGAUUCUAUCGCCGUUUUGUGAAGGAUUUCAGCACCAUUGCUGCACCAUUGAAUGAGCUUACAAAGAAGGGGGUGCCUUUUGAUUGGGGCAAAGCACAAGAGAAUUCAUUCAACAUGUUGAAAGAUAAGUUAACUCAUGCACCUCUCCUACAACUUCCUGAUUUUAAUAAGACUUUUGAGCUUGAAUGUGAUGCUAGUGGAAUUGGUUUGGGAGGUGUUUUAUUACAAGAGGGAAAACCUAUUGCAUAUUUUAGUGAGAAAUUGAGUGAGCCUGUUCUCAAUUAUUCAACUUAUGAUAAAGAACUCUAUGCUCUUGUUAGAACAUUAGAGACAUGGCAGCAUUAUUUGUGGCCCAAAGAGUUUAUUAUCCAUUCUGAUCAUGAAUCUUUGAAACAUAUUCGUAGUCAAGGAAAACUGAAUCGUAGGCAUGCAAAAUGGGUUGAAUUUAUUGAAUCUUUUCCUUAUAUUAUUAAGCACAAGAAAGGGAAGGAAAAUAUUAUUGCUGAUGCUUUAUCACGGAGAUAUACUUUGCUGAAUCAACUUGAUUACAAGAUAUUUGGGUUAGAAACAAUUAAAGACCAAUAUGUUCAUGAUGCUGAUUUUAGAGACGUGUUGCUGCAUUGUAAAGAUGGAAAAGGGUGGAAUAAAUUCAUCGUUAGUGAUGGGUUUGUGUUUAGAGCUAACAAGCUAUGCAUUCCAGCUAGCUCUGUUCGUUUGUUGUUGUUGCAGGAAGCGCAUGGAGGUGGCUUGAUGGGACAUUUUGGAGCAAAGAAGACCGAGGACAUACUUGCUGGUCAUUUCUUUUGGCCCAGGAUGAAGAGAGAUGUGGAGAGGUUUGUUGCUCGUUGCACAACAUGUCAAAAGGCAAAGUCACGGUUAAAUCCCCACGGUUUGUAUUUACCUCUUCCUGUUCCUAAUGCUCCUUGGGAGGAUAUAUCUAUGGAUUUUGUGUUGGGACUACCAAGGACUAGGAGGGGACGUGAUAGUGUGUUCGUGGUUGUUGAUAGAUUUUCUAAGAUGGCACAUUUCAUACCAUGUCAUAAAACUGAUGAUGCUACAAAUAUUGCUGAUUUGUUCUUUCGAGAAAUUGUUCGCUUACAUGGUGUGCCCAACACAAUUGUUUCUGAUCGUGAUGCUAAAUUUCUUAGUCAUUUUUGGAAGACUUUGUGGUUCAAAUUGGGGACUAAGCUUUUAUUUUCCAGCACCUGUCAUCCCCAAACUGAUGGUCAAACUGAAGUUGUUAAUAGAACUUUAUCCACUAUGUUAAGGGCUGUUUUAAAGAAGAAUAUUAAGAUGUGGGAAGAAUGUUUGCCUCAUGUUGAGUUCGCCUAUAAUCGUUCAUUGCAUUCUACUACAAAAAUGUGUCCUUUUGAGAUUGUCUAUGGCUUCUUGCCACGUGCUCCUAUUGAUUUAAUGCCUUUGCCAAGUUCUGAAAAAAUAAAUUUUGAUGCUAAGCAACGUGCUGAAUUGAUGUUAAAAUUGCAUUAGCCACUAAACAAAACAUAGAGCGCAUGAAUGCUAAGUACAAAUGCGCUGGAGAUAAAGGUAGAAAGCAAUUGAUUCUGGAACCUGGAGAUUUGGUUUGGUUGCAUUUGCGAAAAGAUAGUUUUCCAGAACUGAGAAAAUCCAAAUUGAUGCUUAGAGCUGAUGGUCCUUUUAAAGUGCUGCAACGAAUUAAUGAGAAUGCAUAUAGGCUUGAUCUUCCUGCAGAUUUUGGGGUUAGUCCCACAUUUAACAUUGCAGAUUUGAAGCCUUAUUUGGGUGAGGAAGAUGAGCUUGAGUCGAGGACGACUCAAAUGCAAGAAAGGGAGGAUGAUGAGGACAUCAACACCAGCGAUACAUAUCCUACAUCCACCAGCGAUACAUAUCCUACAUCCACCAGCGAUACAUAUCCUACAUCCUCUCCGACACAACCUAUAGCUGGUCCUCUUACUCGUGCUCGUGCCCGUCAACUCAACCUUCAAGUAAGUUCAGCUUUAAACUCUUGUCAAUCAUAUUUAGACAAUGGAGACCCGUGCACUUUGGUGUUGCUCAGGAAUAAUGGACAAGAUCAGCAAGGGAAGGUUCAACUACAUUCAGAAUUUGAGGCAACACCAACUUCAAGGGCUGAUUGCAUAUGGGAAGAGUGAUAACUUAACAAAGGUGAUUGGAGAUCAGGUCCAAGCCUCCACAACAUCCUCUGUCAAGUUACCACGUCGUUUCUAAAGCAAGGAAACAAAGAGUCCAAACCCAACACGUUUUGGGAGUUGGAUUCGGACUGGAAAAUAACUCUAACUUGUAUGGAUCACCACGGCGUGAUAUGGAGUCCAACUGGGACGUUCCUAUACUUGUUGGAAAGCUCAUGAAGUCUACUUUCCAAUGGGUCCAACGACAUAUCUAUGCGGCUUAUGAGUCGGGCGCAGUCCUUGUUUUCGUGCCGACACCUUUUUCUGUUUUGGUGCUGCGUCACCGUAUUUUGGACCAAUGGCCCAUGUAUCAAGUUGAGUCCAUUAGGGACGCGUCCUAGGGUUGGAGGACGACUCUAGCACCCCUUUGGUCAUCCUCCCCUCUAUUUAUUUACAUCUAGAGCCGCCAUGAACAACUGGGUUUUGAUUAGAUAAAGUUUAGCCUUCGCUACUUGCUUGUAAACGCGCGUGCUGAUCCAGCCGCCCGUCUUCUUGUUUUCGAAACCCCACUUCAUUAGAGAUUGAGUUUGAAACCUUCAUUAACAUCUGGUAAUUUAGUACUUGUUCUACUUGUUCUUGCUGGUUCUUCGAUUGCUUGCAGGACGAGUGCCCUAGUGGCCGGGUGUUGCGCUCCACAAGAUCGUGACAGCCAUUGGAGGCGGUGUAUCGGUUGCUAAGGCGCAGUCUUGAGGGCUGUAGUCGGGCCGUGAACGUCAUCUCCAUUCACUAAUCGAGUUAUCCAGCGCCUCUCAUCGAAAGAUCAGGCGAAAACCCUAGUGGGUUCACAUCAGUUGGUAAUCAGAGCAAGGUUUAUCGGUGAGAGAUUUCCAAUUCUUCGUGUUUGUUUUUCCUAUAGUCCAAAAAAAAGACAAAAAAUAUAGCAAAUUUGUUUUCCAUAAUCCUAUAAAUCCUUUGUGCCGUGGCUAGUACUACUUAGUUAGGGCUGGUUGAAUGAGUGUUUGCUUCGGUUGUGUCCAGUGCUGGUUUUAGUUUAGUCCUUUAGAGUUUUGAGUUCAUGUCACCAUCUAGUCACAACUGCGUCCAAUCUAUUGUGGGUUGGAAUUUGAGUAGAUCUUGAUAAUAGGUGCAGCCACUUGUUUGUCUAUUCUGUGUUUCCAUCAACGUGAUCCAAAAGGAAAGAUAGCACUUCAUACUUGUGCUAGAUAUAUUGAAUUUUGAGGUUCAGCCUUACUCUAGUGAGAGGGUGAGAGUGGUGAAGUGAUAUUUUGUACUAUUUCGUUUAUAUAAUCCGGUUUUGAGGUUCCCCCAAAAAAAAAAGAAAAGAGAAAGAAAAAAAUAAAGAAAAAAAAAGAAAGAAAGAAAGAAAAAAAGAAAAAAAAAUCAAAAGAAGGGGAUUGUUGUUCUUUUUGUUUCCAGUAGGGCUGCUCAUUUUGUUUCUAGUGGUGUGCUGUGUUUUCCCUUUGUGUCCAGGCUCGCGUCUCUAGCACGGUCUAGGCUAGGACCAGCACAGUACCACC